RNAcentral lists this long non-coding RNA (1091 nucleotides) under Falco tinnunculus (common kestrel). RNAcentral describes it as "lncRNA (ENSFTIG00000004479.1)". The record is from RNAcentral. Lineage: Eukaryota; Metazoa; Chordata; Aves; Falconiformes; Falconidae.
AAUACAGAAGCAUCACUUCUGAUUUUGUAGGUGUUCUUUUUGCUGUCUUGUGCUGAAUAAUGUUAAUUUCAACAUCAAUGGUAUUUUAGGGUUUAUAAAGAGAUUUAUAGAGAACACAGAGGCAAAGGCUUCAUUUUCUGAUCUCUCAAGGUGGACAGCAUUACGCUUGUUUUCCUAUAAGUCUUGCUCAUAAACUUUAAGUUGUUACUAGCUUUUAUGUGUGUCAGUGUCUUAAAAAAUGAUACAAGUCUCUUGGUCUGAAUUCUUAAGCAGUUGCUGAGUAGUUGCAAUGAAAUGAGAAAUUAUAUGUUACCUUUGUUGUUCUGUUUAGUUAUCCUGCAUGCAGGAUGAUGCAUUCCAGAAAGAUCUCAGCAUCAAUUUCAUAUUGAAAUUGAGACCAAAUAAGCUUCUCUGUAACUGAAGAAACACUUUGAUAGUAUUUGCAAAAUGAGUUAAUUGAGAAUACUUGAACAGCUUUCAGUUAAGUAGGGAAAUAUGACCUUGAGCUACCAAAGUGGCAGACAACACGAGUUAAUGGGUGAUUUCCUUGGUAAGGUAAUGCUUCUCUUUGUAGGUUUGGGGCUGGUUUUUUUUGAUAUUUUUUGGUUUGUUCUUUUUUUGGUGGAGGGGUUGGGUUUUGGUUAGGUUUUUUUGUUUUGUGGGGUUUUGGGGUUGGGUUUUUUUGGGGGGGGUGUAUUAUGGGUUGGUGGGUGUGUUUGUUUUUUAACAUUAUUUUUUUUAAAUAGUGUGAAAAUCCCUGGCUUCUAUUACUGAAGAAGCUUUUCCAUGGUGACAAGCCUUUCUUAAAUACGAGGUUAUUUGGAAAGGUGCUGAACAGAACAGCACAAGAUGACUUCUGAUUCCUGCUUUUCAUGGGAGCCUGUCUGGAUUGUCCCUGCAGAACUCUACAGCUUCCUUCCCUCUUCAGUGUGCUUGGCUUGCAGAGUCGUAAACCUUGGUGGAACUUUGGAUGGAAAUACUGACAUGAUUUUAAGAACUUUGAUUUCAGACGCUGAAUUUUGAUUUGUUAAGUGACCAGGAAUAAGAUACCGCCAGAACAAAAUGAAAUGCCUUGAAGACCUUUGGUUCUG